RNAcentral lists this ribosomal RNA (484 nucleotides) under uncultured bacterium. RNAcentral describes it as "partial 16S ribosomal RNA". It matches the Rfam family "Bacterial small subunit ribosomal RNA", at positions 30 to 507 of the family's 1533-position model. The record is from RNAcentral.
AUUGAACGCUGGCGGCAUGCCUUACACAUGCAAGUCGAACGGUAACAGGUCUUUCGGGAUGCUGACGAGUGGCGAACGGGUGAGUAAUACAUCGGAACGUGCCUAGUAGUGGGGGAUAACUACUCGAAAGAGUGGCUAAUACCGCAUGAGAUCUAUGGAUGAAAGCAGGGGACCUUUGGGCCUUGUGCUACUAGAGCGGCCGAUGGCAGAUUAGGUAGUUGGUGGGAUAAAAGCUUACCAAGCCUACGAUCUGUAGCUGGUCUGAGAGGACGAUCAGCCACACUGGGACUGAGACACGGCCCAGACUCCUACGGGAGGCAGCAGUGGGGAAUUUUGGACAAUGGGCGCAAGCCUGAUCCAGCAAUGCCGCGUGCAGGAUGAAGGCCUUCGGGUUGUAAACUGCUUUUGUACGGAACGAAAAGUCUUGGGUUAAUACCCUGGGAUCAUGACGGUACCGGAAGAAUAAGCACCGGCUAACUACGUG